Molecule: long non-coding RNA, 301 nt
Filed under: Mytilus galloprovincialis (Mediterranean mussel)
Lineage: Eukaryota; Metazoa; Mollusca; Bivalvia; Mytilida; Mytilidae
Source: RNAcentral
UGUUAAGGGCAUACGAUACAGUUACAGGGAAUGUAAUGACGUUGCUAACGUAAAAUGUUAUUUUCGCGACGUCAAACUCUGACAUAUCGGGAAAAGAUGCAUUUUUCGACUGAUUUUUAGCAUUCAAACUGAUUUAAUUUGAAAACGAGUGCAUGGACCCCUAUUUUUUAAAACAGCAAUUUGUUUCAUUUUGCUAGGAGAUUAUGUGACCAAAAUUUUAUAAAACUGUAAAUAGCGCAAUUUUUUUAAUCUUGAUAAACAUGCAGCAAAAAAUGACGUUUUUUCCUCUAUUCAUGAACAU